RNAcentral lists this transfer RNA (76 nucleotides) under endosymbiont of Ridgeia piscesae. RNAcentral describes it as "tRNA-Lys". It matches the Rfam family "tRNA". Rfam says of the family: Transfer RNA (tRNA) molecules are approximately 80 nucleotides in length. Their secondary structure includes four short double-helical elements and three loops (D, anti-codon, and T loops). Further hydrogen bonds mediate the characteristic L-shaped molecular structure. tRNAs have two regions of fundamental functional importance: the anti-codon, which is responsible for specific mRNA codon recognition, and the 3' end, to which the tRNAs corresponding amino acid is attached (by aminoacyl-tRNA synthetases). tRNAs cope with the degeneracy of the genetic code in two manners: having more than one tRNA (with a specific anti-codon) for a particular amino acid; and 'wobble' base-pairing, i.e. permitting non-standard base-pairing at the 3rd anti-codon position. The record is from RNAcentral. RNAcentral also lists the same sequence under 22 other names. Lineage: Bacteria; Pseudomonadati; Pseudomonadota; Gammaproteobacteria.
GGGUCGUUAGCUCAGUUGGUAGAGCAUCUGACUUUUAAUCAGGUGGUCGCAGGUUCGAUCCCUGCACGACCCACCA